AGUGUGUCCUUUCCCUGCUGCCUUAGCUCCGGGUAAAUAUUGAUUUGCCCCCAGUUUACCUCCUCCCUGACUGUCCAGUUGCACACUAAAACACCGGCCUCUGUAGGGACCUGAUUUUUGUGUGACUUUCCGGGGCCUGUUUCCCCACUUCCUUCCUCCAAGCGGCAUAGUAAAACUCGAGGUGACAAAGAGGCAGGGUAGGGUUCAAGGCCCCAGUUCCUGACGACUUGAGGGCUAUUUUACAUACGGGUCAGACAGGGCUGGAGGCCAAGGUCAAGUUGAACGUUGCAGUCUAGCCAAUCUGAGAACUGCCAUGCAAGCCUGGAGACCCAGGCAGCUGUGAAAGGCCCACCGCCCAUCUCCCCUCA
Myotis brandtii (Brandt's bat) is the source of this 368-nucleotide non-coding RNA. NCBI's taxonomy places the organism in Eukaryota, Metazoa, Chordata, Mammalia, Chiroptera, Vespertilionidae. The record is from Rfam.